Molecule: long non-coding RNA, 268 nt
Filed under: Panicum hallii
Lineage: Eukaryota; Viridiplantae; Streptophyta; Magnoliopsida; Poales; Poaceae
Description: long non-coding RNA (PHAL_LNC000772)
Source: RNAcentral
ACCAUGGACUUAAGUUAAACUAAUCUUGUUCCCACAUAUUAAGGAAGGGCAUCGAUUAUCCUAUCAAUAUCAUCAUCAUUACAAUACGUCCCCAAAUUGCUUUAAACUCUGUUAUAAUUCUUCGAAUGACCUCCGGCCCCGAUCUAGAGACCCUGGGCUGCCACCCCAGGCCCGAAGUCUCGGCCUGAUAGAACCAUCUUCUUGCGUAGCUCUCAGCCCAAACGAAGAACCGGGAGGCCAGGUCCCCUUUCAUAUCAACUGGACCCCC